GUACUCUCACACUCCCAAUCCUUUUUCUUUGGAUUGGGAGCGGUGGACUUGGGUGCUGCUGCUUACUGUGGCUCACCUCAAAUGCGUUAGUGCAACCGUUGGUUAGACAUAGUACAGCGUGAUAAGUAUCUUCGCUGGCGCCUCACUCGAGGGUGGCUGAUCAGGGCUCUGUGCUUCCAAUCGUCUUCGGACACUGCUGACA
RNAcentral lists this unclassified non-coding RNA (202 nucleotides) under uncultured Sebacina. RNAcentral describes it as "sequence contains ITS2". The record is from RNAcentral. Lineage: Eukaryota; Fungi; Basidiomycota; Agaricomycetes; Sebacinales; Sebacinaceae.